Molecule: long non-coding RNA, 647 nt
Organism: Dermochelys coriacea (leatherback sea turtle)
Lineage: Eukaryota; Metazoa; Chordata; Testudines; Dermochelyidae
Exons: 2
Source: RefSeq, a predicted model, not a curated record
GAGGAAGAGACAGGAGGGAGGCCCAAGGGAAGGCUGGAAGGAAGAGCAAAGGAGCCCAGGAUCUCAAAGGUACGGAACAGCCCAGGUGGGCUGCAGAGCUUGAAGACAGAAUUGCAGCAUGGGAGCAUUGCAGCUUGCAUUGGAGCUCCUGGAACAGGAACGUUGGCUGAAGGAGGAAGACAGCCUAUCUGAAAGACCUGUCUGAGCGACUGCUUUAGCUAAUGGCCACUAGAAUGCAGGCUCCUGCUGCACCCACUCCACAGCAUGAGGUCCCCUCCACAGUACCAUGCCAGCAGACCAGGAACACUUUGGACAACUCCAUGGUUGGGUGGUCCACAUACCUUGGACUUAGCUGGACAGGAAAAAUCUACCUUCUAUAGUCCUCCACUCUGGUCUAGGAACCCCUGCCCAAUGCAUACUUCCACCCCUGUGAUGACCCUCUCCCCCUCGCAGGCCUCCACACCCAGACAGUAGCACUAAGUGCAUGCUAAAUGCACAAGAAAGGGAAAGGAGAAGGUGCCAGAGGACAUACAAAAUUAAGAGGUUGUUUUGAUGGCACUGGUUUCACUGUUUGUACUGUUCAGUGUUUGAUUUAUGCAUUUUGUUUUAUUUCUAGUGUUUGUGCUGGUUUACUAUUGUUGUUUCAG